CGGACGGGUGAGUAAUGUCUGGGAAACUGCCUGAUGGAGGGGGAUAACUACUGGAAACGGUAGCUAAUACCGCAUAACGUCGCAAGACCAAAGAGGGGGACCUUCGGGCCUCUUGCCAUCGGAUGUGCCCAGAUGGGAUUAGCUAGUAGGUGGGGUAACGGCUCACCUAGGCGACGAUCCCUAGCUGGUCUGAGAGGAUGACCAGCCACACUGGAACUGAGACACGGUCCAGACUCCUACGGGAGGCAGCAGUGGGGAAUAUUGCACAAUGGGCGCAAGCCUGAUGCAGCCAUGCCGCGUGUAUGAAGAAGGCCUUCGGGUUGUAAAGUACUUUCAGCGGGGAGGAAGGGAGUAAAGUUAAUACCUUUGCUCAUUGACGUUACCCGCAGAAGAAGCACCGGCUAACUCCGUGCCAGCAGCCGCGGUAAUACGGAGGGUGCAAGCGUUAAUCGGAAUUACUGGGCGUAAAGCGCACGCAGGCGGUUUGUUAAGUCAGAUGUGAAAUCCCCGGGCUCAACCUGGGAACUGCAUCUGAUACUGGCAAGCUUGAGUCUCGUAGAGGGGGGUAGAAUUCCAGGUGUAGCGGUGAAAUGCGUAGAGAUCUGGAGGAAUACCGGUGGCGAAGGCGGCCCCCUGGACGAAGACUGACGCUCAGGUGCGAAAGCGUGGGGAGCAAACAGGAUU
This 684-nucleotide ribosomal RNA is filed under the name Escherichia coli. RNAcentral describes it as "bacterial SSU rRNA". It matches the Rfam family "Bacterial small subunit ribosomal RNA", at positions 99 to 779 of the family's 1533-position model. The record is from RNAcentral. RNAcentral also lists the same sequence under 1 other name. Lineage: Bacteria; Pseudomonadati; Pseudomonadota; Gammaproteobacteria; Enterobacterales; Enterobacteriaceae.